This 460-nucleotide ribosomal RNA is filed under the name uncultured bacterium. Its description in RNAcentral is "partial 16S ribosomal RNA". It matches the Rfam family "Bacterial small subunit ribosomal RNA", at positions 338 to 795 of the family's 1533-position model. The record is from RNAcentral.
CCUACGGGGGGCAGCAGUGAGGAAUAUUGGUCAAUGGACGGGAGUCUGAACCAGCCAAGUAGCGUGAAGGAUGACUGCCCUAUGGGUUGUAAACUUCUUUUAUAUGGGAAUAAAAUGUUCCACGUGUGGGAUUUUGUAUGUACCAUAUGAAUAAGGAUCGGCUAACUCCGUGCCAGCAGCCGCGGUAAUACGGAGGAUCCGAGCGUUAUCCGGAUUUAUUGGGUUUAAAGGGAGCGUAGGUGGAUUGUUAAGUCAGUUGUGAAAGUUUGCGGCUCAACCGUAAAAUUGCAGUUGAAACUGGCAGUCUUGAGUACAGUAGAGGUGGGCGGAAUUCGUGGUGUAGCGGUGAAAUGCUUAGAUAUCACGAAGAACUCCGAUUGUGAAGGCAGUUCACUGGACUGCAACUGACACUGAGGCUCGAAAGUGUGGGUAUCAAACAGGAUUAGAUACCCGGGUAGUC